Molecule: long non-coding RNA, 1362 nt
Filed under: Naja naja (Indian cobra)
Lineage: Eukaryota; Metazoa; Chordata; Lepidosauria; Squamata; Elapidae
Description: lncRNA (ENSNNAG00000008702.1)
Source: RNAcentral
CCUCUCGCUUGCCAGAAGGAAGGCAGGCGGAGAGAGCGAGCGAGCGAGAGCGCGAGCCAGAGGGAGGGAUCGACUGCCCGCCUGGGCUUCUCGCAGCGCCCGGAUCCCGAGUCCCCCCGGGCCAGACCACGCUGGCCGAAGGCAGGCCCGGUCGCCGCCCUGUCCAGGAGAACGGCGACUCCCGAGGCCGAAAACCUUGGGCGACUCCACCGGCCUUGAGGCCUCCAGGACGGCUUCUCUAAGCCCCGACGGACUUUCCACCCCCCUACCCCCCGUCGGCUUUCGCUCAGUUUUUCGAGGGGUUGGAGCAGCACUGUGGGUCGGGAGCAAAGCCAAAGGCAACGAAGGCGCUCUCCAGGAUUCGCAGAGGCUACGGGAGAGAACGGCAGGCCGAGGAGUCACACUCGCGGGGUGCAACGGUCGCCUGGAUCCGUGACCGAAGACCGCAGACCCUCCAAUCCCAGACAGCGCCUCGCGGGAUUCGAAGGCCCGUCCGCGCCCCUCUAGCCGACUCCACUGCGGCGGCCACUCUACCUGGGGCCCGGGAGAGAAGCGAGACGGUCGAGGGCUUCCUCUUGGCCAGGCCGCCUGAGGUCUGGCUCGGCUCCCGAGAUCCCACCCCGCCCUUCGUUGCUGCUACCGGUCAAGCUGAGAAGGGCGGCUGGAGCUCCCUUCCGGCUCCUGAGGAAAGGCGAGGACUCACCCGGCGCGAUCGGAGCGUUGAAAGGAGUUUGGGGCGCAGGAUAGCUGGCUGGGCCCACCUGUCGCUUGGAACCGUUUCAGCGCAGACGCCGCUCUCUUCGUGCGCACUGAGGCCGGAAUGGAGUUCACGAGCGCCGCGUCCCCCUCUCUGCUCCCUAGGCCGGAGACGCGCCGCUUUCUUCCUCUUCAAAAUUAGCUCCAUUUCCCUUUGCCUUCCGGAGUGAGGUUCGAGCCUCUCGCUGCGCAGGAGUCGACUCCAGAGCCCGGACGGUUUAGGCGGCCCCAACAGAAAGGCCGUUCCUGAGACGCCUCGGGCCACCGAGCUGUCCUUCGACCUUGCACGUUUUCCGAGGAGCUCCGGUCCCGGCGGGCGCUGAGCUGAACUCCCGUCGGCCUCCAAAGGGGCUCCCAUCAUUUCCAGCAGGGGAGCAAAAGGAGGCGCCUCCGCGCUCGUGAACGGCGAAGGGAAACCCGCAGCGUCGCCGUGAAGCGGCCCGGCGGUCGCCGAGACUGAACAACAACCUGGCGGGCCCGGCGGCUGCUCCCCACGCUUUCCUCCUGGGGGCCUUCACCUCAGCCUUCAACGCUCCCUUCCGCCCGUGGGAAGAGCCCUGGACGCGUGUCGGUUGAGCCGGGAGCUGGAGCUGGCGGGGCUUUGGC